Molecule: unclassified non-coding RNA, 2534 nt
Filed under: Hevea brasiliensis (rubber tree)
Lineage: Eukaryota; Viridiplantae; Streptophyta; Magnoliopsida; Malpighiales; Euphorbiaceae
Source: RNAcentral
GACAGUAUCAUAUUAUUGUGGAAACAAAGCAUUGUUUCUGUCAAUUUUAACAUUGAAGGGCUGUCAAAAAUCAUACUCACCUGUUCUACUGAACAUAGAAGACUAGACGCUAAGAAAUUCACAACUCAAGACCAUUGAUACAACCAGUUUUGAGCUUGAGCACAAAAUACUUCCGGGGAAGGGGAAAAGUGAUGGAAAAAAUAAACUCAUUUUUAGAAGGAAAGUAGAUCUAUAACAUCUCUCUCUUGUCUUUUUCAUGCACUAUUCAAUUAUGCCUAGAAUAAAUAUCUAUUUCUUUACUUCCUCGUAUUCUGCCUCUGGUGGCUGAUCUCCUCCUUGUGCACCACCACCUCCAGAUGCACCACCAGAACUGCCACCAGCCAUGUGCUCUCCAAUCUUUGAGACAGCUUUGUUUGCCGCAUCAAGUUUCGCCUUGAUAUCAUCAAUGUUCUCAGUCCCCAUUGCUGCUCUCAAAUCAGAAAUAGCUGUCUCGAUCUCUGUAACCACUUCCUUGGGGACCUUAUCCUUGUACUCACUCAAGCUCUUCUCGAUACUAUAUAUGGUAGUGUCUGCACUAUUCCUGAUAUCAAUAAGUGCCUUGCGUUCUUGAUCCUUCUGGGCAUGCAUUUCUGCUUCCCUGACCAUCUUGUCAAUCUCAUCUUCUGAUAGACCACCAGAUGACCGAAUGGUAAUCUGCUGCUCUUUGCUAGUAGCCUUGUCUUUGGCAGAUACAGUGACCAUACCAUUUGCGUCUAUGUCAAAGGUGACCUCAAUCUGAGGCAAACCCCUUGGGGCUGGAGGAAUACCAACAAGCUCAAAUUCACCCAGAAGCUUAUUAUCAGAUGCUAUUUCACGUUCACCUUGUAAUACCUUGAUGCCAACUUGCGUUUGGUUGUCCGCAGCAGUAGAAAACACCUGGCUUUUCUUUGUGGGAAUGGUAGUAUUCCUGUUUAUUAAUCUAGUGAAGAUACCUCCCAAUGUCUCAAUACCAAGAGAUAGCGGAGUUACAUCCAAAAGAAGCAACUCUUUAACAUCACCACGGAGAAUACCACCUUGAAGUGCAGCUCCCAUGGCAACUGCCUCAUCUGGAUUAACACCUUUGCUGGGGCUUUUACCAAAUAUCUCAGAAACUAUUUCCUGCACCUUAGGAACACGCGUCAUACCUCCAACUAGGAGGACCUCAUCCACAUCUUUUAAAGAUACUCCAGCAUCCUUCAAACAAUUCUUGCAAGGAUUCCUUGUCCUCUCGAUUAAGUUGUUCACCAAUGUCUCAAAUUUUGAUCUUGUCAGUGUGAUAUUCAGAUGUUUAGCCCCUGAUGCAUCGGCUGUGAUGAACGGCAAGUUAAUAUCAGUUUGAGAUGUUGAUGAAAGCUCUAUCUUAGCUUUCUCGGCUGCCUCUCGGAGUCUUUGCAGGGCAAGCUUGUCUUUUGAUAGGUCAAUUCCCUCAGUCCUCUUAAACUCGCUCACUAAAAAUUCUAACAAUGCAUUGUCAAAAUCCUCUCCUCCUAAAAAGGUGUCACCAUUAGUUGCCUUGACCUCAAAAACACCAUUUGAUAUCUCCAGGAUUGAAACAUCAAAUGUUCCACCGCCAAGAUCAAAAACAGCGACAAGGCCUUCUUUGCUAUUCAUACCAUAAGACAGCGCAGCUGCAGUAGGUUCAUUAAUAAUCCUUUGCACAUCAAGACCUGCAAUUCUCCCAGCGUCCUUUGUUGCCUGCCUCUGAGCGUCAUUGAAAUAAGCUGGAACAGUGACCACUGCAUCUUUAAUCUUCUUCCCCAAGUAUGCCUCAGCUGUCUCCUUCAUCUUCCCCAGCACCAUAGCACUGAUCUCCUCAGGGCUAAAAACCUUAUUCUCCCCCUUCACUUUCACUUGUACAUAAGGUUUACCGUCCUUAUUCACCACUUUAUAAGGCAAGAAUUUUAUAUCUCUCUGAACCUCUGGAUCAUCAAACUUUCUUCCAAUGAGGCGCUUAAUAUCAAAGAUUGUGUUUUCUGGAUUGAAAGCUGCUUGAUUCUUUGCAGCCUCCCCUAUCAAACGCUCGGAGUCAGUGAAGGUCACCCAUGAUGGAGUUAUUCUGUUGCCUUGAUCGUUGGCUAUAAUCUCUACAUGACCGUGUCGAGAAACGCCCACACAAGAAUAUGUUGUCCCGAGAUCAACACCAAUCACUGUUCCAAGUUUUGAAGAAUCAUCUGCUGCAGCUGAUCCUAAUCCUAGCAAAAAUUCUGAAAGAAAUAGAAAUAGAAAUGAAAAGGCUUUGUUCUUCAUCUUCAUUGAUAUUUUGAUCUUAGUUUCUGUGAAAUCAAUUCGUUUGCUUUCUUUCUUUCUUUCUUUUCUUCGUGUUAUUUUGGAACUUUGUGCUCAGCUCCUCGCAUAUUUUGAUAUAAAAUUGACAAAUAUGAUUCUCUGCACAAGCCCAUGUAGUUUGGGUGUAUGUUUAAUUAUUAUUGUAUUUGUUUUUUUUUUAAAUGUUAUGGCAUACAUUAGGUUACAAUUAAAAGAUAGGAAUGUUGCUAAUUUAACUUUUUCUUCUGUAG